AUGGCACUUUCUGGGAGUCAUGGUUUCCCUGGCAGUCCUGGUGCUAUUGCUUUAGAGGGCAUGGAAAGAAACAGAACAGGUGGCAGGGAGAUGUAUGCAUUACCAUGGAUGAGAACUGAAGACAGUUGCUGGAAGGAGACUGGAUGAUAGAAUUUUGUGCCCUGUGGUACCCUGCUUGUCAAAAGCUUCCACCAGAAUGGGAAAGUUUUGCUGAAUGGGGAGAAGUUCUUGAGGUUAAUGUAGCAAAAGUAGAUGUCACAGGGCAGCCAGGACUGAGUAGACAGUUCAUCAUAACUGCUCUCCUACUAUUUAUCAUUGUAAAGAUGGUGAAUUUAGACACCAUCAGGGUCCAAGGACUAAGAAGGACUUCAGAAACUUUAUAAGUGAUGAAAAGUGGAAGAGUAUUGAACCAAUUCCAUCAUGGUUUGGUUCAGGUUCUUUUCUGAUGAGCAGUAUGUCAGCACUCUUUCAGCUCUCUAUGUGGAUCAGGAUUUGUCAUAACUAUUUUAUUGAAGACCUUAGAUUACCGGUUUGGAAAUUGUAUACAGUUUUUGCUUUAGCAAUUCUGCUUUCAGGGCUGUUUUUAGGACUCUUUAUGAUAUUUGUGGCAGAUUGCCUUUGUCCUUCAAAAAGGUGCAGACUGCAGCCAUACUUGUUAUAUUAGUUCAUUCUU
This 673-nucleotide long non-coding RNA is filed under the name Homo sapiens (human). RNAcentral describes it as "non-protein coding lnc-SULF1-7:1". Lineage: Eukaryota; Metazoa; Chordata; Mammalia; Primates; Hominidae. The record is from RNAcentral.